This is a long non-coding RNA of Polypterus senegalus (gray bichir), 272 nucleotides long. RefSeq lists it as uncharacterized. The record is from RefSeq and is a predicted model, not a curated record. The transcript is spliced from 3 exons. Lineage: Eukaryota; Metazoa; Chordata; Cladistia; Polypteriformes; Polypteridae.
GGAUGAGACGGGCGCGCUCUCAGUUCUGUGAUGGCCGCUGGGCGGUUUUAACUUGUCUCCAGUAUCUACAUCUUUGCCUGGCCAGCAAUAUGACUUCUCCAGUGUGAAUUCUUUUAAGAGGAUUGCUUCACUAAACUUCUAUAAAGGUUUAGAACUUGUCUCCAGAAUGCAUUUCCUUGCUUGGCUUGCAGUAAGACUUCUCUCCAGUGUGAACUCUCUUGUACCCGAGUGACUCUUAAAUUUCCUUGACUCGUGUAAAUGUUGUUUUGGGG